AGAGUUUGAUCCUGGCUCAAAUUGAACGCUGGCGGCAGGCCUAACACAUGCAAGUCGAGCGGAAAAGAGAAGCUUGCUUCUCUUGAGAGCGGCGGACGGGUGAGUAAUGCCUAAGAAUCUGCCUGGUAGUGGGGGAUAACGUUCGGAAACGGACGCUAAUACCGCAUACGUCCUACGGAAAAAAGCAGGGGACCUUCGGGCCUUGCGCUAUCAAAUGAGCCUAGGUCGGAUUAGCUAGUUGGUGAGGUAAUGGCUCACCAAGGCGACGAUCCGUAACUGGUCUGAGAGGAUGAUCAGUCACACUGGAACUGAGACACGGUCCACACUCCUACGGGAGGCAGCAGUGGGGAAUAUUGGACAAUGGGCGAAAGCCUGAUCCACCCAUGCCGCGUGUGUAAAGAAGGUCUUCGGAUUGUAAAGCACUUUAAGUUGGGAGGAAGGGCAGUUACCUAAUACGUGAUUGUUUUGACGUUACCGACAGAAUAAGCACCGGCUAACUCUGUGCCAGCAGCCGCGGUAAUACAGAGGGUGCAAGCGUUAAUCGUAAUUACUGGGCGUAAAGCGCGCGUAGGUGGUUUGUUAAGUUGGAUGUGAAAUCCCCGGGCUCAACCUGAGAACUGCAUUCAAAACUGACUGACUAGAGUAUGGUAGAGGGUGGUGGAAUUUUCCUGUGUAGCGGUGAGAUGCAUAUAUAUAGGAAAGAA
RNAcentral lists this ribosomal RNA (704 nucleotides) under uncultured bacterium. Its description in RNAcentral is "bacterial SSU rRNA". It matches the Rfam family "Bacterial small subunit ribosomal RNA", at positions 8 to 706 of the family's 1533-position model. The record is from RNAcentral.